RNAcentral lists this ribosomal RNA (253 nucleotides) under uncultured bacterium. Its description in RNAcentral is "partial 16S ribosomal RNA". It matches the Rfam family "Bacterial small subunit ribosomal RNA", at positions 524 to 776 of the family's 1533-position model. The record is from RNAcentral.
UACGGAGGGCGCAAGCGUUGUUCGGAAUCACUGGGCGUAAAGCGCGUGUAGGCGGCUUGGCAAGUCGGGUGUGAAAUACCGAGGCUCAACCUCGGAACUGCACUCGAAACUGCUUGGCUCGAGUCCCGGAGAGGGUGGCGUAAUUCCCGGUGUAGGGGUGAAAUCCGUAGAGAUCGGGAGGAACUCCAGUGGCGAAGGCGGCCUCCUGGCCGGUGACUGACGAUGAGACGCGAAAGAGUGGGGAGCAUACAGG